This is a long non-coding RNA of Oncorhynchus masou masou (cherry salmon), 2284 nucleotides long. RefSeq lists it as uncharacterized. The record is from RefSeq and is a predicted model, not a curated record. Lineage: Eukaryota; Metazoa; Chordata; Actinopteri; Salmoniformes; Salmonidae. The transcript has 2 exons.
GCGUGCGUACAUGUCUACAUGUGAUAUGUGUGUCUAAUGUAAACAGUGCCUAGGCCACGAGUCCUCCUCAGUUUCUCCACUGUCCUACAUUGUGCCUCUCAAGGGGAUGGAAACGGAGGUGUCCAUGUUGGAUCUAUGCUGUGUCAAAUAUCUGAAUUAAGCGACUAGGCUUCUUCUGGGUCGUAUUCACUAGGCACAAAUGGAAGAAAACAGACUGAAAAGGGGAAGGAAUACAUGAACUCCUCCAAUAAGAAACUCGCUGUUUUUGUUUUGCGAAACAUUUUCCGUUGCAGAACGUUGUGCUCUGCUGUAUGUACACGAAUGAAUAGGAUCCCGGUUGUGAGGAUUACUUCACUGAGUAUACAAAACAUUAAGAACACCUGCUCUUUCCAUGAGAUAGACUGACCAGGUGAAUCCAGGUGACAGCUAUGAUCCCUUAUUGAUGUCAAUUGUUAAAUCCACUUCAAUCAGUGUAGAUGAAGGGGAGGAGACGGGUUAAAGAAGGAUGUUUAAGCCCUGAGACAUGGAUUGUGUAUGUGAGCCAUUCAGAGGGUGACAAAAGAUUGAAGUGCCUUUGAACGGGAUAUGGUAGUAGGUGCCAGGGGUACCGGUUUGUGUCAAGAACUGCAACGCUGCUGGGUUUUUCACACGCAACAGUUUCCUGUGUCAAUCAAGUAUUUUCCACCACCCAAAGGACAUCCAGCCAACUGGACACAACUGUGGGAAGCAUUGGAGUCAACAUGGGCCAGCAUCCCUGUGGAACGCUUUGGACACCUUGUAGAGUCAACAUGGGCCAGCAUCCCUGUGGAACGCUUUGGACACCUUGUAGAGUCAACAUGGGCCAGCAUCCCUGUGGAACGCUUUGGACACCUUGUAGAGUUCAUGCCCUGAGAAUUUAGGCUGUUCUGAGGGCAAAAGGAGGUGCAACUCAAUAUUAGUAAAGUGUUCUUAAUGUUUUGUAUACUCAGUGUGUACUAUAAUGCAUUGUGCCUCUCAAGGGGGUGGAAACUGAGUCUAGACUGGGCCUGACUGAAGGCUGGCUGGCCUGAUGCAUUAUGACCUGAAGCUCACAGGCAUUUACAAUGCCCUCCACCAAUCCACUGGACUGUUACUGUUAGGUUGAAUGCCCUCCUCCAAUCCCCUGGACUGUUACUGUUAGGUUGAAUGCCCUCCACCAAUCCCCUGGACUGUUACUGUUAGGUUGAAUGCCCUCCUCCAAUCCCCUGGACUAUUACUGUUAGGUUGAAUGCCCUCCACCAAUCCACUGGACUGUUACUGUUAGGUUGAAUGCCCUCCUCCAAUCCCCUGGACUGUUACUGUUAGGUUGAAUGCCCUCCACCAAUCCACUGGACUGUUACUGUUAGGUUGAAUGCCCUCCUCCAAUCCCCUGGACUGUUACUGUUAGGUUGAAUGCCCUCCACCAAUCCACUGGACUGUUACUGUUAGGUUGAAUGCCCUCCACCAAUCCCCUGGACUGUUACUGUUAGGUUGAAUGCCCUCCACCAAUCCCCUGGACUGUUACUGUUAGGUUGAAUGCCCUCCACCAAUCCCCUGGACUGUUACUGUUAGGUUGAAUGCCCUCCACCAAUCCCCUGGACUGUUACUGUUAGGUUGAAUGCCCUCCUCCAAUCCCCUGGACUGUUACUGUUAGGUUGAAUGCCCUCCUCCAAUCCCCUGGACUGUUACUGUUAGGUUGAAUGAGUAACGAUGAAGCCUACCGAAGCCUACAGUGAUUUGCUCUGACAGCAGUUUCUAUGUUAAUUUGACUAAUGAGUAACAUUUAAUUAUUUUUUUAGAGGUACUCAUGUCAACAAAUGAAUUGAGUUUGUUUCACAGGGAGAUGAGGUGUAUGAACAGGGAUGGACACUAUGAGGAAAUGGGAGGAGAGAGAUGAUGUCAAAUAGUUUUAUAACCUGAAUGAUCAACCAUGUCUCUGACAUUUUGUAUUUUAUUGGAGCUGUGGAUGUGGCUAGCUUUGGUCCAGGGGGUUAGUGCAUUCCUCGCUAACGCCCUGGACCAGAGCUAGUUGUGGCUAACUGUGGUAGAGAGAAAUAUCAUUUUAAAAUGCUGUAAUUUCAAGUAAAUAAGAAAAGAAACCCAAGACCUUACUUUAAAGACAAGAUCAAAGCUGCUCUCCCUAAUGAGGAGUUGUACAUAUAAAUGUAUUUGAACAUAGUAUUAUUUGCAAUAUUAUAAUGUACAGAAUUGUAUUUAUAAUGUAUCUCAACAAACUGUUUUAAUUGGUACAAAGAUGUUCUAGAAUACAGAACGUUUACAAUCUAAA